Long non-coding RNA from Cucumis sativus (cucumber), 675 nucleotides. RefSeq lists it as uncharacterized. Lineage: Eukaryota; Viridiplantae; Streptophyta; Magnoliopsida; Cucurbitales; Cucurbitaceae. The transcript is spliced from 2 exons. The record is from RefSeq and is a predicted model, not a curated record.
GGAAGAACUUGGUGUGAAGGUGAAAGCUUGAUUGUUCUCCCUUUCAUUGAAUCCAACAUAGGAAAAACGAUGCUCAAGGAUCGGUUGACUACUCACAGGUCCAAAGAGCAACACCAAAGAAGUCACAACAACCACAAAGAAGAACAAACCAGAAGAAGAUACAGAUGAAUUCCAAGCUUUGUAGAUCGGCAACGGGAUUAUUGAAUCCGGAUUCAGCUUGUUCCUUUCUCCACUAAUCAAAGAAAAAAGCUAAAGGUAAACCCCAUUUGGUUUAAAGUUUAGAGCCUUUCUUUUCCACGAUUAACGCCUUGAUAUGAACAGAAACCGAGUUUUGUAUUCUUGGAUGCAUUAGUUUAAUAUUGCAAGAAACCGAGUUUUGGAAAAGUAUGGUCUAGAGAAAUGGUCGAAGGUCAAAACUCAAAAGGGGUUAGAGAGGAGGAAGAAGAAGAAGAAGGGUCAAAAAUUUCAUGCUGAAAAUGUUGGAAAAGCCAUUGAUAAGAUAUGUAAUGUAAGUUGACAAAAAAAAAAAAAAAAGAAGCAGUUUCGUAGAGAAAACAGUGCAAAUAUCGUCCAUGCUUGGGUAAUAAAAAAACACUUUUUUAGAUUUAGAUUGUUGAUGAUGAGUUUAGAGAUCUGAAGGAAAUGGAGUAUGGAAUCUUUUCCUUUUUUUCUUAA